RNAcentral lists this non-coding RNA (29 nucleotides) under Rattus norvegicus (Norway rat). Lineage: Eukaryota; Metazoa; Chordata; Mammalia; Rodentia; Muridae. The record is from RNAcentral.
CAGUACCUUGGUGUAUAUCCAUCAUCGCC